GACGAACGCUGGCGGCGUGCCUAAUACAUGCAAGUAGAACGCUGAAGGAGGAGCUUGCUUCUCUGGAUGAGUUGCGAACGGGUGAGUAUCGCGUAGGUAACCUGCCUGGUAGCGGGGGAUAACUAUUGGAAACGAUAGCUAAUACCGCAUAAGAGUAGAUGUUGCAUGACAUUUGCUUAAAAGGUGCAAUUGCAUUAUUACUAGAUGGACCUGCGUUGUAUUAGCUAGUUGGUGGGGUAACGGCUCACCAAGGCGACGAUACAUAGCCGACCUGAGAGGGUGAUCGGCCACACUGGGACUGAGACACGGUCCAGACUCCUACGGGAGGCAGCAGUAGGGAAUCUUCGGCAAAGGACGGAAGUCUGACCGAGCAACGCCGCGUGAGUGAAGAAGGUUUUCGGAUCGUAAAGCUCUGUUGUAAGGGAAGAACGAGUGUGAGAGUGGAAGGUUCACACUGGAACGGAAUCUUACAAGAAGGGGACGGCAAACUACUG
This 494-nucleotide ribosomal RNA is filed under the name uncultured bacterium. RNAcentral's name for it is "partial 16S ribosomal RNA". It matches the Rfam family "Bacterial small subunit ribosomal RNA", at positions 28 to 506 of the family's 1533-position model. The record is from RNAcentral.